CAAACUGUUACUGUUAGAGAGAAAAAGCUCAGUAUUUUUCAUGUUAUUUAAUUUCUCUGUUAUAAUGCAUAAAUACUGCACUGCUACAGUUUUUAGAUAUGUAAUCCAUCUCCUGCUUCUUCUUAAAAGUGUCAUAAAUGGAGACAAAGUAACCCAGUUAGAAUUAAUAAAAACUGUAUCUGAAGGUGAGGAAGUUGAUCUGUCCUGCAAUUUUACAGCAACAGCUGCUGCAACUCCAUACUUACACUGGUACCAGCAGAAGCCAAAUGGACCUCUCAAGCAUCUAGGACUUUCUACAAGUAAAUUUCAAAUUAAUGCAGCAGAAGGUCGUUUCAAGGCACAUUUCGAUGGUUCCAAAAGUUCCACGUUUUUAAGCAUUGUCAAAGCGGAGCUGUCUGACUCAGCCGUUUACUACUGUGCAUUGGGUGACACAGUGUUGCACACUCCCAGUAUCAGUGUACAGGAAUUGCUGCUACAUGUAUCAGGAAUGUAAAACAUCUUUCUUGCAUUCUCAUAGAUUUGAUGAACAUUUACAGUGUUUCCUAGCAUUUUUAUUCUAUACUUCUGCAGAAUUCAGAGAAUAUUUCAGUGCCAUAAAGAUUUAUAACCCUUGUUUACUGCUCUAGUGAGAAUGCUCUUUGAAGCAUUACAUCAACAGUACCUGCUCAGAAUGAUUUUUAAGCCAUUUGGAAUGAUUGCCUGUAGAACUUUUGUAGAACAGCCAUUAAAGUAAUGUUAACAGGUUUUCAUGAU
Protopterus annectens (West African lungfish) is the source of this 753-nucleotide non-coding RNA. The record is from the annotation of a RefSeq genome assembly. Lineage: Eukaryota; Metazoa; Chordata; Ceratodontiformes; Protopteridae.